CUUAUAUUUACACCUCGUUCGGACUAACUUGGUAAAUUUUUAGUAGUUUCACAGGUAUAUAUAAAUAAACAAAACAUGCUGAAAUUAUCAGUAAACAAUUGUACUCAUCCAGUCAACCGUUAAAAUGUUUUUCAAAACCGUUAUUUUCUUCGCUAUCGUAGCUGUAUCCUUGGCUGUGCCAGCACCAGAAGCCAAACCUGAUCCAAAAUCCAAGCCUGAUUUCUUGGUAGAUGCUCCCGUAGUAGCGGCAGCUCCUGUAGCUUACACUGCUGCCUACAGCGCUCCUUUAACUUAUGCCGCCGCUCCACUAGCCUACAGCGCGUAUCCAGCUUAUUCCGCUUAUGCUUCUCCUUAUGUAACUACCAUAUUAUAAGCUAUUAAAUGAGUUUUAAAUAAGCUA
This is a long non-coding RNA of Anthonomus grandis grandis, 400 nucleotides long. RefSeq lists it as uncharacterized. The record is from RefSeq and is a predicted model, not a curated record. NCBI's taxonomy places the organism in Eukaryota, Metazoa, Arthropoda, Insecta, Coleoptera, Curculionidae. The transcript has 2 exons.